RNAcentral lists this ribosomal RNA (248 nucleotides) under uncultured bacterium. RNAcentral describes it as "partial 16S ribosomal RNA". It matches the Rfam family "Bacterial small subunit ribosomal RNA", at positions 529 to 776 of the family's 1533-position model. The record is from RNAcentral.
AGGGUGCAAGCGUUAUCCGGAUUCACUGGGUUUAAAGGGUGCGUAGGAGGGCAGGGAAGUCCGCGGUGAAAUCUCCGAGCUUAACUCGGAAACUGCCGUGGAUACUCUCUGUCUUGAAUCCCGUGGAGAUGAGCGGAAUAUGUCAUGUAGCGGUGAAAUGCUUAGAUAUGACAUAGAACACCAAUUGCGAAGGCAGCUCGUUACACGAAGAUUGACUCUGAGGCACGAAAGCGUGGGGAUCAAACAGG